RNAcentral lists this ribosomal RNA (253 nucleotides) under uncultured bacterium. RNAcentral describes it as "partial 16S ribosomal RNA". It matches the Rfam family "Bacterial small subunit ribosomal RNA", at positions 524 to 776 of the family's 1533-position model. The record is from RNAcentral.
UACGAAGGGGGCUAGCGUUGCUCGGAAUCACUGGGCGUAAAGGGUGCGUAGGCGGGUCUUUAAGUCAGGGGUGAAAUCCUGGAGCUCAACUCCAGAACUGCCUUUGAUACUGAGGAUCUUGAGUUCGGGAGAGGUGAGUGGAACUGCGAGUGUAGAGGUGAAAUUCGUAGAUAUUGGGAAGAACACCGGUGGCGAAGGCGGCUAUCUGGACCGUAACUGACGCUGAGGCGCGAAAGCGUGGGGAGCAAACAGG